UAUUUUAGUAGUGAUGCAUUGUAUAGAUAGAGUUGGUCUCUUAACCCCUAGCUGAGUCUUGUAUCUGAUGUCAACAGGAAAGACAUGAAGGCUCGUGAUGUUUGGUAGAGCCAUCACUACAUGUUCCAUCAAUAUUGAACAUGAUUUCAUCGUUUAAACAACUCUUCAUUGUAGGUGUGUUUGGUUCUUGUAGACCAGGUUUCGAUAUUGUUGGCCUUCAUUUCGUCAUAUACAUUCAAAAUCUUUUUUUUACCUGCAAUUAAGACAUCACCCUAAAAUACAUCAGUUCUCCCACACAUAUCGUUUCUUUUGCCUCGGGAAAAGAUAAAUUGCAAACCGACAAAUUUACGAAAAAAUGGCACACAUAUACAUAAACAUGGUCACAUUAAUACGAGCACACGGGCAUCUCUAUUAAAUGUUUUCUCUCUCUCACUGGUUGCUACCAACAAUCAGACCCUCCCAUGUGCUGGUACUACGAUCCAUAAAUCUCAAUGAGACCUUGAGAUCUACCUAAAGGCCUAAAACCCCUACCUCAUACUUAAUACUCC
Molecule: long non-coding RNA, 548 nt
Filed under: Hordeum vulgare
Lineage: Eukaryota; Viridiplantae; Streptophyta; Magnoliopsida; Poales; Poaceae
Description: long non-coding RNA (HVUL_LNC001667)
Source: RNAcentral